This 498-nucleotide ribosomal RNA is filed under the name uncultured bacterium. Its description in RNAcentral is "bacterial SSU rRNA". It matches the Rfam family "Bacterial small subunit ribosomal RNA", at positions 899 to 1397 of the family's 1533-position model. The record is from RNAcentral.
ACUCAAAUGAAUUGACGGGGGCCCGCACAAGCAGCGGAGCAUGUGGUUUAAUUCGACGCAACGCGAAGAACCUUACCAGGUCUUGACAUCGAUCUAAUCCCGUAGAAAUAUGGGGUCCCUUCGGGGGAGAGAAGACAGGUGGUGCAUGGUUGUCGUCAGCUCGUGUCGUGAGAUGUUGGGUUAAGUCCCGCAACGAGCGCAACCCUUAUGAUCAGUUACUAACGGGUAAUGCCGAGGACUCUGAUGAGACUGCCGGGGACAACUCGGAGGAAGGUGGGGACGACGUCAAAUCAUCAUGCCCCUUAUGACCUGGGCUACACACGUGCUACAAUGGCGGCAACAAAGAGGCGCGAGCCCGCAAGGGGGAGCGGAUCUCAAAAAAGCCGUCCCAGUUCGGAUUGUGGGCUGCAACCCGCCCACAUGAAGUUGGAGUUGCUAGUAAUCGCGAAUCAGCAUGUCGCGGUGAAUACGUUCCCGGGCCUUGUACACACCGCCCGU